UGUCUCAUGGUGUAAUGGUAGCACUACAGUUUUUGGUUCUGUCAGUCAAAGUUCGAAUCUUUGUGAGACAA
Transfer RNA from Bacteroides luti, 71 nucleotides. It matches the Rfam family "tRNA". From Rfam's summary of the family: Transfer RNA (tRNA) molecules are approximately 80 nucleotides in length. Their secondary structure includes four short double-helical elements and three loops (D, anti-codon, and T loops). Further hydrogen bonds mediate the characteristic L-shaped molecular structure. tRNAs have two regions of fundamental functional importance: the anti-codon, which is responsible for specific mRNA codon recognition, and the 3' end, to which the tRNAs corresponding amino acid is attached (by aminoacyl-tRNA synthetases). tRNAs cope with the degeneracy of the genetic code in two manners: having more than one tRNA (with a specific anti-codon) for a particular amino acid; and 'wobble' base-pairing, i.e. permitting non-standard base-pairing at the 3rd anti-codon position. Lineage: Bacteria; Pseudomonadati; Bacteroidota; Bacteroidia; Bacteroidales; Bacteroidaceae. The record is from Rfam.